Molecule: ribosomal RNA, 492 nt
Filed under: uncultured bacterium
Lineage: Bacteria
Description: partial 16S ribosomal RNA
Rfam family: Bacterial small subunit ribosomal RNA
Source: RNAcentral
AGUGAACGCUGGCGGUAGGCCUAACACAUGCAAGUCGAACGGCAGCACAGUAAGAGCUUGCUCUUACGGGUGGCGAGUGGCGGACGGGUGAGGAAUACAUCGGAAUCUACUUUUUCGUGGGGGAUAACGUAGGGAAACUUACGCGAAUACCGCAUACGACCUACGGGUGAAAGCAGGGGAUCUUCGGACCUUGCGCGAUUGAAUGAGCCGAUGUCGGAUUAGCUAGUUGGCGGGGUAAAGGCCCACCAAGGCGACGAUCCGUAGCUGGUCUGAGAGGAUGAUCAGCCACACUGGAACUGAGACACGGUCCAGACUCCUACGGGAGGCAGCAGUGGGGAAUAUUGGACGAUGGGCGCAAGCCUGAUCCAGCCAUACCGCGUAGGUGAAGAAGGCCUUCGGGUUGUAAAGCCCUUUUGUUGGGAAAGAAGAGCAGCAGGUUAAUACCCCGCUGUUCUGACGGUACCCAAAGAAUAAGCACCGGCUAACUUCGUG